GACGAACGCUGGCGGCGUGCUUAACACAUGCAAGUCGAACGAUGAACCCGGAGCUUGCUCCGGUGGAUUAGUGGCGAACGGGUGAGUAACACGUGAGUAACCUGCCCUUGACUCUGGGAUAACUGCGGGAAACUGUAGCUAAUACCGGAUACGACCCUCGGCGGCAUCGCCAGGGGGUGGAAAGAAUUUCGGUCUAGGAUGGACUCGCGGCCUAUCAGCUAGUUGGUGAGGUAACGGCUCACCAAGGCGACGACGGGUAGCCGGCCUGAGAGGGUGACCGGCCACACUGGGACUGAGACACGGCCCAGACUCCUACGGGAGGCAGCAGUGGGGAAUAUUGCACAAUGGGCGAAAGCCUGAUCCAGCAACUCUGCGUGAGGGACGAAGGUCCUCGGAUCGUAAACCUCUUUUGCUAGGGGCGAAUACCCGCAAGGGUUUGACGGUACCUAGCGAAUAAGCCACGGCUAACUAUGUGCCAGCAGCCGCCGUAA
RNAcentral lists this ribosomal RNA (491 nucleotides) under uncultured bacterium. Its description in RNAcentral is "partial 16S ribosomal RNA". It matches the Rfam family "Bacterial small subunit ribosomal RNA", at positions 28 to 523 of the family's 1533-position model. The record is from RNAcentral.